GCCCCGUGGUCGCGGGCGAUCGCGUCGAGUCGCGCCGCCGUCUCGGCACCGAUCGAGAAGCGAUGCGAGGCACCGUUGUUCGAGGCGACGGCGGGACGC
RNAcentral lists this transfer RNA (99 nucleotides) under Rhodococcus (subgen. Prescottella) equi. RNAcentral describes it as "Prescottella equi tRNA-Gly". The record is from RNAcentral. Lineage: Bacteria; Bacillati; Actinomycetota; Actinomycetes; Mycobacteriales; Nocardiaceae.